This 4842-nucleotide long non-coding RNA is filed under the name Sus scrofa (pig). RNAcentral describes it as "lncRNA (ENSSSCG00055023098.1)". The record is from RNAcentral. Lineage: Eukaryota; Metazoa; Chordata; Mammalia; Artiodactyla; Suidae.
AACUAUGCAAAUGAUAGGCAGGUUAGCCAGAAAGGACGGGAAAAGUAGCAUUUCCCAGCUAACGAAGAGUUUUGUCCAGGAUGGAGUCGCGUGCACGGAAUCAAGUGUUUUGUUUCUUGGAGUCUGACUUGGAGGGCAGAGCUUAUCCAUCCCUAGUCAAAACCCUCUGUAAAGGAGCUGGAUAAUUUUGCGUGGAGAAGGAUUUCUCUGGCCCGGUGUCUCUACCAGAGCGGGGAAAUGAAAGACAAGCCAAGACUCUGUCAAGACAAAUGGGAGAGAACCUACUCCUCUGCUGGACGUGAAGCACAUGUCCCGGUUUAACAGGCAAACCAGACGAUGCUGAGUCCUCACACCUGAUCUCGUUCGUUCUGCCUUCCUCCCUGGCCCGGCAGGCAGGUGCGUGUCGAGUCCAUCGAAGACGUUCUCUGCAGAAAAGCGUUCUGGAGGGAGGCACAGAUUUGGGAGGUUAAUUGACAACCUGAAGCCUGACUGUGACUCCUCGGGGGGCCUGUUGACCUCAGGUGAGACCCCUUGUCCUAGAGGGAGGACAGUCUUGAGGGGUAAAUUCUGCUUUCAGUGUUGUACGGUGCAUUUCUUACUGGAACUGGCCUAUGUGGUCAGAGGGUCACCCAUCAGAAGACUUUGGUGCUGGAAAAGACACUAUUUCACUAGUGCGGGGUAAGUUUCUUCAUCUCUUUUCUCCUCCCUCAAGAUGCCUUAACCUUCUGGCCUCCUGGUUUCUCAACACACACCAAGCCCGCCUCAGGAUCUUUGCACUGACUCUGAAAUGCUAUCCUGCAAUAUCCUCGUGGCCUUGAUCCUUCACUUUGCUCAGGUCUUUGCUCAAAGAGACCUCCUUUGCUUAUCGGUGAUUGUUUAUUUCCCCUGCUAUUCAUCCCAGCAUUUACCACUCUCUGAUGUCAUCAGUGUUUGUCAUUUGAUAUGUAUUUCAUGUCUCUCUUCCACUGGAAAUGUAAGAGGGACUCUGUUAUCUUUGCUCUUGUAUCUCCAAUGCUGAAAAUAGCUUCUGGCCCGUAGCAGACAUCUGACCUCAAGUUACCAAAUCAAUCAAUCAAUCAAAGGCAUCUGCAAGUAGGGAAAUGGAAACAGGUUCACUACCUUCUUUCUGGCCUGGAUCCAUUUCACUUUCUCAUCUUCCCUUGCUUGCCUGUGCUUCUCAGCUUAAUCUUUCGCUCAGCCUACGGACUCGGAUCUGCUACCAAGAGGCGCUUCGGCUCUCCCGGAGUUGCUCCUUCACCUCCAUGAGCCUAACCUCACAUCUCUUGUACCUGGUAGACGGCAUGUGAGAGACUCAACCACUCAACAACUGUUCUUGAGUGUGUAAAAUGUCCUAGGUCUUGUGGACAAGUGUGACUCAGUCCAGCAACAAAACCACCAGGAAGUCACUUUAGCAAAUGGGGGGAGAGAUGUGGAGGAACUCAGGGGGCCCUUGCAAAUAGCUGGGAAGCACAGGACCACCUUGGGAAGUCCAGAAAGGCUUCCUAGAAGAGGAGACCUUGAUCAAACCCCUUCACUUCUCUGGAUUCUUGUUUUCUCCUUAAAAAAUAAUUUUUUUUGGACUUGAUGAGUGAUUAUGUUUCCUUCUCAUUCAAAUCACCUUCCACGCUCUGCUCCACGACGUCCCAAAGAGCAACUGAUGGUGUUAUCAGACCUAAGCCUGGGCAGCUUCUAGGUAUGUUUGAUUUUCCAGAGGAGGUCACGAAGGUCAAGGCCUGGUACGAUGAUGUGGUAAGCAGAACAGGCAGAAGAAAUACCUAUCAGUAAAUAACAAACACGGCUCCUGACUCAGUCAUGGAAUUCUGAGAAGUAGCAGCACCCAGUGAACCAACCUGGAGAUUGGCAAUCAUGGGUGAAACUAACUUUAACCAAAGGCGUGUGGCAGAGCUACAAAAGGCAGGCUCUGAACCCUACAGGCAGAAGCCACCUCCUCAAGUCGCAGGACAGCUUCCAUAUACACGCCUCAUGGAAAGACCAGCUGAUCACGUAUACAGGCCUUUUUUGCUUUCCUAGCCCAUUAGAUUAUAAUGAUCCUGCCCUGCCAUAAAGGAAAGCAAUAUAAUAUCACCACCUCGCCUUUAUAGGAUGGCUUUAAUCUCUCCUCACCAAUAUGUCACAGCAUAUACCUGACCACUGAUGGUUGGCUAUAAGAAGAACCAACCAUAGAUAUAGAAAAGAAAUAUCUACUUUACCUGUAAGGAAAUUAAACCAAAGUAGAUUAAGUAGGUUUCUGCACUCGGAAACAAACCAUCCUUUGGAAAACAGCAUGGGGUAUGGUAUGAACAGUGAAAACUUUCUAAGUGGAAAAGUAGCUUGGAGGGUGAGUUGCUCUUAAAAUAGGUCAUUCAGAAGUUCCCACUGUGCUACAGUAGGUUAAGGAUCUGGCGUUGCCACAGCUGUGACUCAGAGUCAGUCCGGGCCUGGGAACUUCAGUAUGCUGUGGGUGCAGCCAAAAACAAACAAAAAACAGUGAAAAAUUAAAAUUUAAAAAUAAACAAAUAGGAGUUCCCGUUGUGGCGCCGCGGAAACGAAUCCGAAUUGGAACCAGGAAGUUGAGGGUUUGAUCCCUGUCCUCCCUCAGUGGGUUAAGGAUCUGGCAUUGCCAUGGGCUGAGGUGUAGGUUGCAGGUGCAGCUUGGAUCCCAUGUUGCUGUGGCUCUGGCGUAGGCCGGUGGCUAUAGCUCCAAUUAGAACCCUAGCCUGGGAACUUCCAUGUGCCGUGAGUGCGGCCCUAAAAAGACAAAAGACAAUAAAUAAAUAAAUAAUAGGUCAUUCAAAUCACUGAAAGUGCUAUUCCAACAAAUGUGGCUGUUAACUUUUCAAAGAUUAUUUACAAUGUUUAAACCUAGGCUAGGGAUAAAGAAUCCAGGGGGGAGAGUUGAAUUCUUCCUGUUUUGUUUUAAAAUACUGCCAAUGAAGAAAUUGUUACAUUUCAAUAUGUGCCAACAAUUCCAAAGAUAAACACUAAAGUCACAUCUUAUUUAUUUUAAAAUACUAAAAACCAGAAACUCUGUUUAGAAAUGACUCUGUGAGCAUCAUGAAUGGUAAAAUCCUACCAUUUUCCCUUUGGCUUUUCCAGCGCUUGCUAGAAAGGAGAUUUUUAUUGCAUCUUCUCUUUUUCUCUUCCAUUUUUAAAACAAAUCUUAAAAAAGGCAAUGUUUUCUAACAAUGCCAUCAGGCAAAUCUUUGUCUUUCAUGACAUAAAAUUUUUAGCCAAAGUCUAUGUGCAAUGCCUUCUACUUUGCCACAACCACCAAAUUUCUUCUGCCCCAUGUUCACUGUCAGCCAAAUUAACUGCAUUGUAAUCUGUUCACUGCAGCCCUUAAAUGGACAAAAAUAAAGAUGGCAUAAUAAAAAUGUCACAAUAAAGAUGGUAUGAAUAAACAAAUAUCACUAUUAGCACCUGGGAAAUCAGAAGACAGUUAUAAUAUGCCAACAUCUCACACAAAGACCAUCACAAAAGAAUAAGACACCUGCUACCAAAGCCCACUCAACAAGAAAUGGAUAACCUGUAUAGCCCUAUUUCUACUAAAAAAAUAGACUCCAGAUUCAGAAGGCUUUAUUGGCAAAGUUUACCAAACAUAUAAUGAAGAAACAACACCUAUUCUACAUAGACUUUUCCAAAAAAUAGAAGUGGGAACAUUUCAUAACUCAUUCUAUGAGGCCAGCACUAUCUAGAUAUCAAAGAUAGGUAAGACAGGAAACUAUACACCAAUUUCUCUCAUGAGCAUAGUAACAAAAUAUUGUAAUUGAACACAGUAAUCUAUAAAAAAGAAAAUAUAUCGUGACCCACUGGGGUGUAUUCCAGAAAGGCAAAGGUGGUUCACUACUCAAAAUCAACCAGUAAAAUUCACAAUCUCAACAGACUAGAAUAGUAAAAUCACAUAAUUAUCUCAAUAAUGUUUAAAAAGCAUUUAUAAAGUUCAGGAUCCAUCCGUUAUAAAAAAAAUCUCAGCAGGCUUGGAACAGACUUUUCUGGCAAGACUUUUCUACCAAAAAGAAAAAAAAGGUAACAUCAUUCCUAAAGUUAAAGAUUGAAUGUUUUGCCCCUAAGAUUGGGAACAAUAUGAAUUUGUCUCAAAAGCAAUAUGCUAAGUAUGAGACGCCAGACACAAAAAUCUACAUAUUAUAGAAUUCCAUUUACGUGCUAUUCUGGAACACAGGUCAAAUGGUGCCAGGAAAUGAGGACGGGUGACAAAAUUGACUGCAAAGAGCAGGAGGGGAUGUUUGGAGUUGUUAGAAAUUCUAUAUCUUAAGGCAGCAGUUACAUGACUAUAUACAGUCAACAAAAUUCAUUGAAUGGUACACUGUAAAGGAGUAAAUUUUAUUUUAUAUGAAUUAUUCCCUAAGAAACCUGACUCUAUAAAAAGGUAAAACUAGAAAAGAACCACCUCGGAAGAGAACAAAAAGGAGGGAAAGCUGGUGUACAGCUUUAUUCAGGCUAAGUCGGUGUACAUGCAAGACUCCAUCAGUAAAUAACAUUGGGAAGACAAGCGAGUUAAGAGUGAUUUUUUUUUUUUUUAAUCUACAACUAAAAGGUCUAGGCACACAUCCCCACUUUAAUGCAGCUUAUAAAGAAAAAGAAUAGUUCAGGUUCAGUGAAAUUACAGAUAGGAGAAGAUACAGUUUUAUCUUUAGUACUAAAAACAGGUUUAAAAAUAGCACUCUUACCUAGAUCUUAAAUGUUCUCACCACAAAAAAGAUAAUAAUUACGCGAUGGAGUGAUAAUCCUGUAAUAUAUAAAUUACCAAUUCACACUGUACUGUCUAAAACAGUGUUACAUGUCAAUUAUCUCAAUUUUUAAAGUUAAAAAUAUAAAUAAAUG